CUCCCGGGCACGGUCUGGAGACGGUGGCGGCGAGCUGGGUGAGCCCGGAGUGCGGCGGAGAGCGGUAUUUAACGGGCAGCCUCUCUCCGCCCUCGCACCCCCCUCCUGGGUAAGCCCUUUAGCGCCUCGGCGCGCGCGGGAGGCUGCUGCGGGCGCUAAUCCACGUCCCGGCUUUCCACCGCGCGCGGUCCCGUGAGCGGCUCGCGGCCAGCGCUCCGAGGGGCGCUGCGGGGAUCCUGCACCGGCUGCUGCGAGGUCGCGCUGGCCGCAGGGCUGCAGGAACACACUCCCCGCUUCCCAGCAGCCACCUGUGUGUGUGCGUGUCUGUGUGCUUCGCCGCGGGGCAGACCGGUACCAGGAGUGGCCGGCACCAAGCGGGAUGGGGAAGACCGGGAGUGCGAGUGCGGGGGAGUGUGUGCGUGCGUGCGCGUGUGCUGGUGUGUGCGCGCCGGGGGAGGCGGUAGAGGCCGCUGCGCCCUGGCUCGGCGCCUGCCGAAGAGGAUUGCAAGGUUUAGCCUAGCCGGAGCUGGGGAUUUGCAGGCGAUCCCUCUCUAUUUUUGUCCAGAGCUGACAUCACCCGCGCCGCAGCCUGGGGCGACUUCUUUAACUGUCGCCCCUGCCCCCCAUCUUUAGACGUUGUCCCUUUUCUGUUGUCCCUCCCCCACCAGCCUCCAGUCAUAAAUUAGGAAAAAAAAAAAAAAAGGCACCGCCGGUAGUCCGGGAACGCUUUGGAAAGCCAGUGGCAGGAUCCCAGGGUCUAAGGAGUCGCUAUUGUUUCCUCUCCAGUCUGAGUGGCCCUGGGUCACCCUGUGCUGGGCCAAGCGCUGAGACCCGGGAUGCCCCUCCGUCCCCAAUCCUUGGAGAAGCCUUGGCACUCCCCAUCACUCCCUGGACAUCUGCUCGGGCUCACAUCACACAGGCCGGCACACCCACCCACAUCCUACCACUUCUGAGAGAAGAAGUCCCACUGAAUCUGAGCUGCAGAAACACUCAGGAUUCUAGCCCAGAGGCUUUCUCAUCCAUGCUCCACAUCUUCGCUUCUUUGCAUGCGUGGCAAACUGGAGGGGUCACCUUCGUUCUCAAUAAGUAACUGAAUGAACUGCAUUCAAAAACUGUUCUGUUAAACCAGGUGUGGUGCUGUAUGCUUGUAAUGCCAGUGCCUAGCAGGCUGGGGUAGGAUGUUCUCAAGUUUGAGACAGGUGUGGGCUACAGAGUAAGCACAUGCUUCAGAAACCAAAAGAAGAAAAAGAAAGUUCUGUUAACUUUGGGGGAUCUUUGGAGGAUUGUUUCCUGGGCAAAGGAAGACUAGGCACAUGAAAGAAAUGAGGAGAAGAAUGUGGGGUGGGGUUAGUCAAGGUUAGCUCCCCUGUCCUGUUUUUGUUUGCUUGUUUUGUUUUUUGUUUUUAUUUUUGUUUUGGAGAUUUUUGUGGUUUUUGUUUUUUGUUUGUCUGUCUGUUUGUUUGUUUGUUUGUUUUUGCCUGCCAAUUACGUUGACCAGCUCUGUGUUCCCUUCAGCUUAAGGAACCUGACUCUGAUUUGAAGAGAUGGCCCUUGAAGAGGCUCUUGGUUAGAUUCUUAGCACCCACUUGGCAGCUCAUACCUGUCUCUGCCACCCCCUUUCCAGGCUAUCUGACACCUUCUUCCGGCCUCCACAGGUUCCUAUUGCUCCCAGUGCACAGACACGAAAUAUAAAAAUUAAAAUUAAAAAGGGUUUUGAUAAAUCAGAAAUAAAAUCUUUAAUUAUCCCUUCA
RNAcentral lists this long non-coding RNA (1751 nucleotides) under Mus spicilegus (steppe mouse). RNAcentral's name for it is "lncRNA (ENSMSIG00000005088.1)". Lineage: Eukaryota; Metazoa; Chordata; Mammalia; Rodentia; Muridae. The record is from RNAcentral.